This 555-nucleotide ribosomal RNA is filed under the name uncultured bacterium. RNAcentral's name for it is "partial 16S ribosomal RNA". It matches the Rfam family "Bacterial small subunit ribosomal RNA", at positions 355 to 920 of the family's 1533-position model. The record is from RNAcentral.
UGGGGAAUAUUGCACAAUGGGCGCAAGCCUGAUGCAGCAACGCCGCGUGAGGGAUGACGGCCUCGGGUUGUAAACCUCUUUUAGCAGGGAAGAAGCGAAAGUGACGGUACCUGCAGAAAAAGCACCGGCUAACUACGUGCCAGCAGCCGCGGUAAUACGUAGGGUGCAAGCGUUGUCCGGAAUUAUUGGGCGUAAAGAGCUCGUAGGCGGUCUGUCGCGUCUGCUGUGAAAUCCCGAGGCUCAACCUCGGGCCUGCAGUGGGUACGGGCAGACUAGAGUGCGGUAGGGGAGAAUGGAACUCCUGGUGUAGCGGUGGAAUGCGCAGAUAUCAGGAAGAACACCGAUGGCGAAGGCAGUUCUCUGGGCCGUAACUGACGCUGAGGAGCGAAAGCGUGGGGAGCGAACAGGAUUAGAUACCCUGGUAGUCCACGCCGUAAACGUUGGGCGCUAGAUGUGGGGACCAUUCCACGGUUUCCGUGUCGCAGCUAACGCAUUAAGCGCCCCGCCUGGGGAGUACGGCCGCAAGGCUAAAACUCAAAAUGAAUUGACGGGGUC